CUCAAAUGAAUUGACGGGGGCCCGCACAAGCGGUGGAGCAUGUGGUUUAAUUCGAUGCAACGCGAAGAACCUUACCUACUCUUGACAUCCAGAGAACUUAGCAGAGAUGCUUUGGUGCCUUCGGGAACUCUGAGACAGGUGCUGCAUGGCUGUCGUCAGCUCGUGUUGUGAAAUGUUGGGUUAAGUCCCGCAACGAGCGCAACCCUUAUCCUUUGUUGCCAGCGAUUCGGUCGGGAACUCAAAGGAGACUGCCAGUGAUAAACUGGGGGAAGGUGGGGAUGACGUCAAGUCAUCAUGGCCCUUACGAGUAGGGCUACACACGUGCUACAAUGGCAUAUACAAAGAGAAGCGACCUCGCGAGGGCAAGCGGACCUCGUAAAGUAUGUCGUAGUCCGGAUUGGAGUCUGCAACUCGACUCCAUGAAGUCGGAAUCGCUAGUAAUCGUAGAUCAGAAUGCUACGGUGAAUACGUUCCCGGGCCUUGUACACACCGCCCGUCACACCAUGGGAGUGGGUUGCAAAAGAAGUAGGUAGCUUAACCUUCGGGAGGGCGCUUACCACUUUGUGAUUCAUGACUGGGGUGAAGUCGUAACAAGGCAAC
This 600-nucleotide ribosomal RNA is filed under the name uncultured bacterium. RNAcentral describes it as "bacterial SSU rRNA". It matches the Rfam family "Bacterial small subunit ribosomal RNA", at positions 900 to 1500 of the family's 1533-position model. The record is from RNAcentral.